CAUAACUGCAGUUUUGGACAACCGGUGGAACUCAUUCCUCCCCAGGGGGGUCAGGGAGCCGGAUUCCACAGUGACUCGUCCUUCCGAGGGGGCGUGGCCUAUCCUGAGGCAUGGCAGACAGCUGCUCUGCCUGGCAGGGACCGCAGCGGUGACAUCACGCCCUGGGAUAUUUUAAAGGGGGUUGAUGAGCUGGGGAGCGAGCUCGGACUGGACAGACCAGCAUCAACAGCGCACCGUGAGGGUUGUAUUAGUGUUUUCAAGAGCUCCAGAGAGAAGAGUCAAAUUCCCCCCGGCGACUUUGUACGACAACCUGCUCCCUGAGCCGACCCGCCCCUGAUUCCCCCUCUGGGAUGUGACCUACUAGCCCGUGUUCUUGCAAUGCUGAGGCAUUGCCCCAUACCCCUUUUCGCAUCUUCCGGAUCCCGGAAGAAGAUGCCCAAGGCCUCUGGGAAAGAAAAGGCCCCCCUGGCAAUACCAGAAAGCCAGGCCCUGGACAUAGUGGCAGACCCAAAGGUGGUGGUCAAGGUGGCUAAGGAGCCUCCACUGCCCCCGCAGAAAGUGCUCCGGAUCUUCAGCAUCAACAUCAUCACUCAGGGGCUGCCCUUCUGUCGCAGACGGCUCUUAUGUUUGUUCACUUUGUUUUCUAUAUGUGUAAGCCACACCGCCCUCCAGGCUCCUUGUCCUCGGACGCAUUCAUGCAUCAUUUGUCAGUCAAACAUACAUUUGUCAGUCAAACAUGCACCUUCGUCAUAAUAC
RNAcentral lists this long non-coding RNA (756 nucleotides) under Salmo salar (Atlantic salmon). RNAcentral describes it as "lncRNA (ENSSSAG00000093481.1)". Lineage: Eukaryota; Metazoa; Chordata; Actinopteri; Salmoniformes; Salmonidae. The record is from RNAcentral.